ACUCCUACGGGAGGCAGCAGUGGGGAAUAUUGCACAAUGGGCGCAAGCCUGAUGCAGCCAUGCCGCGUGUAUGAAGAAGGCCUUCGGGUUGUAAAGUACUUUCAGCGGGGAGGAAGGCGAUAAGGUUAAUAACCUUGUCGAUUGACGUUACCCGCAGAAGAAGCACCGGCUAACUCCGUGCCAGCAGCCGCGGUAAUACGGAGGGUGCAAGCGUUAAUCGGAAUUACUGGGCGUAAAGCGCACGCAGGCGGUCUGUCAAGUCGGAUGUGAAAUCCCCGGGCUCAACCUGGGAACUGCAUUCGAAACUGGCAGGCUAGAGUCUUGUAGAGGGGGGUAGAAUUCCAGGUGUAGCGGUGAAAUGCGUAGAGAUCUGGAGGAAUACCGGUGGCGAAGGCGGCCCCCUGGACAAAGACUGACGCUCAGGUGCGAAAGCGUGGGGAGCAAACAGGAUUAGAUACCCCUGUAGUCCCAUGA
RNAcentral lists this ribosomal RNA (474 nucleotides) under uncultured organism. Its description in RNAcentral is "partial 16S ribosomal RNA". It matches the Rfam family "Bacterial small subunit ribosomal RNA", at positions 335 to 800 of the family's 1533-position model. The record is from RNAcentral.